AUUCUUUUUAUCUAUAGCUUUGGGAAAGAACAUUCAAUUUUUUUGUCACAUAUGGUCUAUUUGUUUUGGUAUUUGGGAUAUUUGUCCUCUAAUGGUGUGUCAUGUUUUAGUUGGAGGCAUACAAGAAACCAUAUCGGAUUUUAGGGAACAUCUCUAUCCCGAGGAUAAGGAUUUUUUUAAUUUUGUUGAUUUGCCAUUUUCUUUGUUAUAAUUUCUUUUUUCUUUUUUCAUUUUUAUUCUUGUCAUAUGUGAUAUAUAAGGCGAAAUUAAAAAUCUUCUCUCCCAUAUGCGUAUCCCUCAGCGAAUCUGCAAUUGGUGCAAGAAAUCGAUAGGCACACCUUAAGAAAUAUGUGAAGGGCGACUCUUUCGUGGGUCAGACACAUCCAACUCGUGAGGGAGAGAUGACGCCGACCCCCCAACGAAGUUAUUCUUACCUUUCUUCAGCUCCAUUUGGCAGUAGCGAUGUUGGACAAAGGAAAGUAAAUAUGUUUUGUGCUUGUUACAAGUCUGAGGAUAAUGACAUUGGAGAAACGAUGAUUGAUAGGCGAUCAACUGAAGGGACUGGUGAAGCCAUUCUUCUGGAAGGAAAUCUUAAUCAAAUAUCUCCUUGGCGGCAGCAGUUUCCUAAGCGAUGGGUUAUUGUACUGCUAUGUUGUACAGCAUUUCUUGUGUAACAUGGAUUGCGUGAGCAAUAUUUUCUUUUGUUUAUAGCUUCAGUUACAAUGCUAUUUAUAUCAGGCGUUUGUGUAUAUUUGAUUAAUUGUUUCUAUAUUUCCACAAUCUUACUAACCUAAUGAUACUGAUAUAUGCUGUACAUUUCCCUUUUUGUGGGUAAAUAUGAGUGUAGCAAUACUUCCAAUGUCUCAAGAGUUCAACUGGAACAGUGCAACAGUGGGCCUCAUUCAGGCCUCUUUUUUCUGGGGUUAUCUACUUACUCAGGUUUCCUAAGCGAUGGGUUAUUGUACUGCUAUGUUUUACAGCAUUUCUUGUGUAACAUGGAUCGUGAGCAAUAUUUUCUUUUGUCUACUUACUCAGGUUUGAACUGAUAUACAUAAAGCCAGUUACCUUAACUAAAAAUUGGUUUCCCACUUUCAUAUUGCAUUUUCCUAGUAUUUUAAAUAUUACUGUUGGUUGAACCUUCCGUAACAUGUUUGCAUCUAGCAAGUUCUAAUGUUCAAAGUUCCUUGAUCAAUCAUAUUUUGGGGACUAUAUACUCCCUCUGUUGCUACGCUCUAGCUUGGUCAUCUCUACUAAUGCUCUUCUCAUUUCAAUCUUUGUUUGGUUUUGAUACUCAAGUCAACAUCUACUUUUGUCAGAUCCUUAGUCUCUUGUGUGUGGACGUUACACAGGAGAUAACCUAUAAAUGUCUCGUUUUCUGGGGAACCUGUGGCAGUCCGAGCUUCACAUUCCUUUUGUUUAUAGCUGCUGUCAGAGUUGGAGGCAUACAAGAAACCAUACCCAAUUCUCAGGAACAUCUCUAUCUCGAGGAUAAGGAAUUCUGCAGUUUUUUUGCACCUCUUUUUGUUGUUGGUUUGCCAUUUCCUUUGUUAUAAUUUAUUUUUUAUAUUUUCAUUUUUAUUGUCAUAUGUGAUGUACAAGACUAAACCAAAAGUCUUCUCUUAUCCCUCAGCUGCAACUGGUGCAAGAACCUGGUAUAAGGGGAGCCUAAUUAAGAACAAGAGGCUGCAAUUGGUUGUUUUUGUACUUUCAUCUGGUGAUCUCUCAUAUGACUAUUAAUUCUUCAUGUUUCUUUGUAUAAUAUGUUGAGAUCUUAUUUUUGGGAUUUCUUCGUAAAUUCCCUGUAGAUGUCAUAUGGAAUAUUUAUUGUGAAUACUGCUUAGAUGAUUGUCGUGGACAUUUUGUUUGAUGAUUCAUUGGAGAGAGGCUAUGAGUGUAUUGUGGAAUUGAACCUUUGCAUUCAACGAGUCAUUUUUUCCCUUGAAUGUACAUUUGAAGUAUAGGUGUCCUAUGAGAGUGUAAUGAGGUAAUGUUGAUUUUUGUGUUUUGAAGAAGGAAUGCAAGUAUUAGAAGAGCUUCAGUAUUUACGGUUAUGUAGUACAUAUCCAUUUCUUUCUUGGCUAAGUCGAGAUGUGUCUGUUUUGCUACAUGCAAACAUUACCAAAUAUCUGAAAUUUAUAUAUGAUUCACUCUUUCUUUUGAAUUUCUCUUGUGAAGUUGUAUUCUUUCUCCGAAGAUAAAUGUCAAUGCAAUAUUGUA
Molecule: long non-coding RNA, 2217 nt
Organism: Lathyrus oleraceus (garden pea)
Lineage: Eukaryota; Viridiplantae; Streptophyta; Magnoliopsida; Fabales; Fabaceae
Exons: 2
Source: RefSeq, a predicted model, not a curated record